Onychomys torridus (southern grasshopper mouse) is the source of this 5586-nucleotide RNA transcript. It is a transcript of the gene named RNA polymerase III subunit B, with no coding region annotated. The transcript has 29 exons. The record is from RefSeq and is a predicted model, not a curated record. NCBI's taxonomy places the organism in Eukaryota, Metazoa, Chordata, Mammalia, Rodentia, Cricetidae.
CCGCAGGUUAGGCCGGGACCAGGCGGAACCUUUCUGAAGCGCCUCCGGUAAACAAGCGCAGCGGGGACACUUUAGGACAACGCACGCCAGUCUCCGCGUGCUGUCUGCUUGGAGCAGCGCGGGCGGAUGUGAACAUUCGGUCGACUCCUUCCUUUACCGUGAGUGGAAUGGACGUGCUAGCGGAGGAGUUCGGGAGCCUGACCCCAGAGCAGCUGGCUGCGCCGGUCCCUACAGUAGAGGAAAAAUGGAGGCUGCUGCCAGCAUUUUUAAAGGUGAAAGGUCUUGUGAAACAGCACAUAGACUCCUUUAACUAUUUCAUUAAUGUAGAGAUUAAGAAGAUAAUGAAAGCCAAUGAAAAGGUUACAAGUGACGCUGACCCCAUGUGGUACUUAAAAUAUCUUAAUAUCUACGUUGGGCUUCCCGAUGUUGAAGAAAGCUUCAAUGUAACGAGGCCAGUGUCCCCCCAUGAGUGCCGUUUGAGGGACAUGACGUACUCUGCUCCAAUCACAGUGGACAUUGAGUAUACCCGAGGCAGCCAGAGGAUAAUCCGCAACGCCUUACCCAUUGGCAGAAUGCCCAUCAUGCUCCGAAGUUCAAACUGCGUGCUGACGGGGAAAACCCCAGCAGAGUUUGCCAAGUUGAACGAAUGCCCAUUGGACCCAGGUGGCUACUUCAUUGUUAAAGGUGUCGAAAAAGUGAUUCUUAUCCAAGAGCAGCUGUCCAAGAACAGGAUCAUCGUGGAGGCAGACAGGAAAGGGGCCGUUGGGGCUUCCGUCACCAGCUCCACCCACGAGAAGAAAAGCAGAACCAACAUGGCUGUGAAGCAAGGACGGUUUUAUUUGAGGCACAACACUUUGUCUGAAGAUAUACCCAUUGUCAUCAUAUUUAAGGCCAUGGGUGUUGAGAGUGACCAGGAAAUUGUGCAGAUGAUUGGAACAGAGGAGCACGUGAUGGCUGCAUUUGGGCCCAGCUUGGAGGAGUGCCAGAAAGCUCAGAUUUUCACACAGAUGCAGGCGUUAAAAUAUAUAGGGAAUAAAGUAAGAAGACAAAGAAUGUGGGGAGGUGGACCAAAGAAAACAAAAAUAGAAGAAGCGAGAGAACUCCUGGCUUCUACCAUUCUGACCCAUGUACCUGUUAAGGAAUUCAAUUUCCGAGCUAAGUGCAUCUACACUGCAGUGAUGGUUCGAAGGGUGAUUCUGGCUCAAGGAGAUAAUAAAGUCGAUGACAGAGACUAUUAUGGUAACAAGCGACUGGAAUUGGCAGGACAGCUUUUGUCGCUUCUUUUUGAAGAUUUGUUCAAAAAAUUUAAUUCAGAAAUGAAGAAGAUUGCAGACCAGGUGAUUCCCAAGCAAAGAGCAGCCCAGUUUGAUGUCGUGAAGCACAUGCGUCAGGACCAGAUCACCAACGGCAUGGUGAACGCCAUCUCCACUGGGAAUUGGUCUCUAAAGAGAUUUAAAAUGGACCGCCAGGGUGUGACCCAGGUGCUGUCUCGGUUGUCAUAUAUUUCUGCACUCGGCAUGAUGACAAGAAUCUCUUCCCAGUUUGAAAAAACAAGAAAAGUGAGUGGUCCUCGUUCUCUCCAGCCAUCCCAGUGGGGGAUGCUGUGUCCCUCUGACACACCUGAAGGAGAGGCCUGUGGUUUGGUUAAAAACUUGGCCCUUAUGACACAUAUUACAACUGACAUGGAGGACGGACCCAUUAUUAAGUUAGCUGGUAACCUGGGAGUAGAAGAUGUGAAUUUACUCUGUGGAGAAGAACUCUCUUACCCCAAUGUGUUUCUUGUCUUCCUGAAUGGCAACAUCCUAGGUGUCAUCCGAGACCAUAAAAAGCUUGUCAGUACAUUUCGGCUGAUGCGAAGAGCAGGCUACAUCAAUGAAUUUGUUUCUAUCUCUACAAAUCUUACAGACCGCUGUGUUUAUAUUUCCUCUGAUGGAGGACGGCUGUGCAGGCCUUACAUCAUUGUCAAGAGACAAAAGCCGGCAGUCACAAAUAAGCAUAUGGAAGAGUUGGCUCAAGGUUACAGGAACUUCGAAGAUUUCUUACACGAGAGUCUAGUUGAGUACUUAGAUGUGAAUGAAGAAAAUGAUUGUAACAUUGCACUCUAUGAGCACACGAUUAACAAAGAUACCACCCACCUGGAGAUUGAACCCUUCACUCUUCUUGGUGUUUGUGCUGGCCUCAUCCCAUACCCGCAUCAUAACCAGUCUCCAAGGAACACCUACCAGUGUGCCAUGGGCAAGCAAGCCAUGGGUACCAUUGGAUACAACCAGCGAAACAGAAUUGAUACACUUAUGUAUCUACUGGCAUAUCCACAGAAACCCAUGGUUAAAACAAAGACCAUUGAGUUGAUAGAUUUUGAGAAAUUGCCGGCUGGACAGAAUGCAACCGUUGCCGUGAUGAGUUACAGUGGCUAUGAUAUCGAAGACGCGCUGGUCUUGAACAAGGCCUCCCUGGACAGGGGUUUUGGGCGUUGUCUUGUGUAUAAAAAUGCUAAGUGCACAUUGAAGCGAUACACCAAUCAGACUUUUGAUAAGGUGAUGGGUCCCAUGUUGGAUGCUGCUACCAGAAAACCCAUCUGGCGACAUGAAAUCUUAGAUGCAGAUGGCAUUUGUUCUCCAGGUGAGAAAGUAGAAAACAAACAGGUGCUUGUAAACAAGUCCAUGCCCACAGUGACCCAGAUUCCUUUGGAGGGAAGUAGUGUGCCGCAGCAGCCACAGUACAAAGACGUGCCCAUCACGUACAAAGGUGCAACAGACUCCUACAUUGAGAAAGUGAUGAUCUCUUCCAAUGCUGAGGACGCCUUCCUCAUCAAGAUGCUCCUGAGACAGACGCGGCGGCCAGAGAUAGGAGACAAGUUCAGCAGUCGUCAUGGACAGAAAGGUGUUUGUGGUCUGAUCGUCCCCCAGGAAGACAUGCCGUUCUGCGACUCUGGUAUCUGUCCCGACAUCAUAAUGAACCCGCACGGCUUCCCAUCGAGAAUGACGGUCGGAAAGUUAAUUGAGCUGCUGGCUGGCAAGGCAGGUGUGUUAGACGGCAGGUUCCACUACGGCACUGCCUUUGGAGGGAGUAAAGUAAAGGAUGUGUGUGAAGACCUCGUUCGCCAUGGCUAUAACUACCUGGGGAAGGAUUAUGUCACCUCAGGCAUCACAGGUGAGCCCUUAGAGGCGUACAUAUACUUUGGACCUGUGUACUAUCAGAAGCUGAAACACAUGGUGCUGGAUAAAAUGCACGCCCGGGCCCGAGGACCACGCGCUGUGCUCACCAGGCAGCCCACUGAAGGACGAUCUCGUGAUGGUGGCUUGCGUCUGGGAGAAAUGGAACGUGAUUGUUUAAUCGGCUACGGAGCGAGUAUGCUUUUGCUAGAGAGACUAAUGAUCUCAAGUGAUGCUUUUGAGGUUGACGUCUGUGGGCAGUGUGGACUCCUGGGAUAUUCAGGCUGGUGCCACUACUGCAAGUCAUCAGGCCACGUGUCCUCGCUGCGCAUCCCGUAUGCCUGCAAGCUGCUCUUCCAGGAGCUGCAGUCCAUGAACAUCAUCCCCAGGUUGAAACUGGCCAAGUACAAUGAGUAAGGAUGGGUGCAGUCCCUGGGGGACACGGCCAGCAGCCCGCACAGCCCAAAGCAGAGGACUCUGAGGGACUUCUGAGUUCCAAACGGCUGAUUGACAGCUUAACCGAGAGCCCGAGUCACGGGAGAUGCCGGCCCCACAGACCGCAGCCUCGUGCUGAGUCACAGGCACACAAGCUAGAGAGAUUAUGAACUACAGUUGAUUUUCUUUGGCUUCGAGCUAGAAUCUCACUCUGUAGUCCAGGCUGGAUUUGAGCUCGUCCCAAUCUUCCUGCCUCCAUCUCUCACAAGUGUUGGAUUUACAGUGAAGACGUGGAAGUCGAAGCAGCUGCUCAUUCCAAGCAGAGGAGGCUGUGUAUGAAGUCAGAGGAGGCAUCACAUGUUCCCUGAAAGUUGGCUGUUUCCUGCUUUGUCACACCUUUCUCCAUAUUGAUGGCCCCUCCACAUCACUGUACUUGUGUGCUUCCUUGGUCCAUCAGAGGGAUCUUUUUUUUCUGGGGUGAUGUUGAUUCCACCAACUCCAUUAAGGUUAAUAACCCCGAAAGGCCAGGCCAUCUUAUCACCGAACACUCAGGUCCUUUGGAAGUAGGAGGCAGUGUUCUGGGUACUGGCACCAGGACACGUUGCUCAGCACUCAGUACGAUGGAUGGAUGGAUGCACUGUAUUGGGGGUAGAAGGAGCAGAAUAUACUUCUUGAUGAACAGAGUCCAGAGUCCAGUCUGUGAGCAGACCGAACUCAACUCAUCAGUGUUGCAGGACCACCCAUACACACUGACCCAUGCUCACAAGCUUGAAGUACUUUUCAGGGUGAUUAGCUCCCUAUUACAGCUAAAGAAACCGGGGCAGAGUAGCCAAGCGGCUCCCUAGACCAUACCACCACAAGGGGAUGGCAAGAGCUCCAAAGCCUGUUUGGUUUCAUCCACCAUUCACCCCAAGUGGUCUGUUUUAGACAUUCGGAUGCCACUGAGAGCUUCUGUUUCCUGCAGAUGAGCAGGUGUGAUCACCUACAAAGUCGCUGCCUGUCUGGUGGAGGAAAUCACAGUGCUCUGAGUUCGCACCACUGAGAAGGCAUUGGGUCUAAACUGACGUCAGUUGAAGGAAAGCAGUUGGGUCGUUUCUAAACUAGCAGAGGGCACACUUGAACAGCUGUUUGUCUGAGAACUUUAGUGAAAAGAGACAGCAAAAGCUGGGGUGUAGCUCUGUGGUAGAUCACUUGCCUAGCACCCCCUGUUUUGUCCCCAGCACUUACACCAAAGACCACAGUUCAUCAGUCUUACUCUGGUCUAUUUUUUUCUUUUAAGUUAUUCUCAGCCCCUGCUUUAAAGCUACCAAUUAGAUCCUAUUUUUAGUAAAGAUGUAUGAUUUCUGCCAGGCCACCCAUGAAGCGCUUUACCCCCGAAGGCUCUUAAAGGGUGGGAGUGGCAUGGGAUUUGGGUAAAGUCUCACCAAGACUCACCCUCACGGAUGCUUCAGUGGAACCCAAGGGCUGCAGAGACACUCGGGUGUUGCCAAGGCCCCCGACUGGACAGGCUGACAUCCCGCACAGGGAGAAAGCUUGCUGAGGGACUCAGGGUUUUUCACUGUCCCCUGGAUCUGUCAGCUCAGGCUGCUGUGGCAGAGUACCACGGUAGAGAUGACGGAUUAUUUUCUUAGUUGCGAAGGUUCCUGUCAGCCAAGGCCUUGAUGAGUCCCCGGUGACUUCUCCUUGGUGCACACUCAAAGCACACUUGGGCACCACUUAUCAGGACACCAGUCCCGCUGGGUUUGCGUGCCGCUCGUCCGACAGCACUAGUUCUUUAAAGGGGCUGCUCUCUGAAUACGGCACACCCACAGGGCUCCCUUCGGCAUGGGGAUGCUGAGGAAACUGCUCAGUCCUUUGGACCCCUCAAGACACUUGAACAGUUCAGGACAGCACAGGUGGAUAUGUGGGAAAUACCUGUUCAAACCCAGUCACCAAAACAGUUCACUCCUAGGGUGUCUGUGUGUGUGUGUGUGUGUGUGUGUGUGUGUGUGUGUGUGUG